This 164-nucleotide ribosomal RNA is filed under the name Breynia discigera. RNAcentral describes it as "5.8S ribosomal RNA". It matches the Rfam family "5.8S ribosomal RNA". Rfam says of the family: 5.8S ribosomal RNA (5.8S rRNA) is a component of the large subunit of the eukaryotic ribosome. The record is from RNAcentral. Lineage: Eukaryota; Viridiplantae; Streptophyta; Magnoliopsida; Malpighiales; Phyllanthaceae.
UCAUAACCAAAACGACUCUCGGCAACGGAUAUCUCGGCUCUCGCAUCGAUGAAGAACGUAGCGAAAUGCGAUACUUGGUGUGAAUUGCAGAAUCCCGUGAACCAUCGAGUUUUUGAACGCAAGUUGCGCCCAAAACCUUCGGGUCGAGGGCACGUCUGCCUGGG